This 397-nucleotide ribosomal RNA is filed under the name uncultured bacterium. RNAcentral describes it as "partial 16S ribosomal RNA". It matches the Rfam family "Bacterial small subunit ribosomal RNA", at positions 523 to 918 of the family's 1533-position model. The record is from RNAcentral.
AUACGUAGGGGGCGAGCGUUGUCCGGAAUGAUUGGGCGUAAAGGGCGCGUAGGCGGCCCGGUAAGUCUGGAGUGAAAGUCCUGCUUUUAAGGUGGGAAUUGCUUUGGAUACUGUCGGGCUUGAGUGCAGGAGAGGUAAGUGGAAUUCCCAGUGUAGCGGUGAAAUGCGUAGAGAUUGGGAGGAACACCAGUGGCGAAGGCGACUUACUGGACUGUAACUGACGCUGAGGCGCGAAAGUGUGGGGAGCAAACAGGAUUAGAUACCCUUGUAGUCCACACUGUAAACGAUGAAUGCUAGGUGUAGGGGGUAUCGACCCCUUCUGUGCCGCAGUUAACACAAUAAGCAUUCCGCCUGGGGAGUACGGCCGCAAGGUUGAAACUCAAAUGAAUUGACGGGG